RNAcentral lists this ribosomal RNA (398 nucleotides) under uncultured bacterium. RNAcentral describes it as "bacterial SSU rRNA". It matches the Rfam family "Bacterial small subunit ribosomal RNA", at positions 358 to 773 of the family's 1533-position model. The record is from RNAcentral.
GGAAUAUUGGACAAUGGGCGAAAGCCUGAUCCAGCCAUGCCGCGUGAGUGAUGAAGGCCCUAGGGUUGUAAAGCUCUUUCAACGGUGAGGAUAAUGACGGUAGCCGUAGAAGAAGCCCCGGCUAACUUCGUGCCAGCAGCCGCGGUAAUACGACGGGGGCUAGCGUUGUUCGGAAUUACUGGGCGUAAAGCGCACGUAGGCGGAUUGAUCAGUUGGGGGUGAAAUCCCAGGGCUUAACCCUGGAACUGCCUUCAAUACUGUCUGUCUAGAGGUCGAGAGAGGUGAGUGGAAUUCCGAGUGUAGAGGUGAAAUUCGUAGAUAUUCGGAGGAACACCAGUGGCGAAGGCGGCUCACUGGCUCGAUACUGACGCUGAGGUGCGAAAGCGUGGGGAGCAAAC